UGGAAAAAACAACACAGUGAGUAAGAUAGGAGCUCUGAAGUAAAGGUUGGAGCUCUGGUCAUUAUAUUAAGAAGAAGAAGUUGAUUUCAGAAUACAAUUCAAGGAUAUUACAUGGAGCAAAAAGCAACUGAACUUUCCC
This 139-nucleotide small nucleolar RNA is filed under the name Oryza punctata. RNAcentral describes it as "Small nucleolar RNA J26". It matches the Rfam family "Small nucleolar RNA J26". From Rfam's summary of the family: J26 is a member of the C/D class of snoRNA which contain the C (UGAUGA) and D (CUGA) box motifs. Most of the members of the box C/D family function in directing site-specific 2'-O-methylation of substrate RNAs. The record is from Rfam by way of RNAcentral. Lineage: Eukaryota; Viridiplantae; Streptophyta; Magnoliopsida; Poales; Poaceae.